RNAcentral lists this ribosomal RNA (468 nucleotides) under uncultured bacterium. RNAcentral's name for it is "partial 16S ribosomal RNA". It matches the Rfam family "Bacterial small subunit ribosomal RNA", at positions 28 to 507 of the family's 1533-position model. The record is from RNAcentral.
GACGAACGCUGGCGGCGUGCUUAACACAUGCAAGUCGAACGGAAAGGCCCUGCUUUUGUGGGGUGCUCGAGUGGCGAACGGGUGAGUAACACGUGAGUAACCUGCCCUUGACUUUGGGAUAACUUCAGGAAACUGGGGCUAAUACCGGAUAGGAGCUCCUGCUGCAUGGUGGGGGUUGGAAAGUUUCGGUGGUUGGGGAUGGACUCGCGGCUUAUCAGCUUGUUGGUGGGGUAGUGGCUUACCAAGGCUUUGACGGGUAGCCGGCCUGAGAGGGUGACCGGCCACAUUGGGACUGAGAUACGGCCCAGACUCGUACGGGAGGCAGCAGUGGGGAAUAUUGCACAAUGGGCGGAAGCCUGAUGCAGCAACGCCGCGUGCGGGAUGACGGCCUUCGGGUUGUAAACCGCUUUCGCCUGUGACGAAGCGUGAGUGACGGUAAUGGGUAAAGAAGCACCGGCUAACUACGUG